Molecule: non-coding RNA, 192 nt
Organism: Oryza barthii
Lineage: Eukaryota; Viridiplantae; Streptophyta; Magnoliopsida; Poales; Poaceae
Source: Rfam
UUUAAGUACAAUUAUAAGUUUCGUGCUCAACUUUGAUCGUCUCUCUUAUUUAAUUUUUUUGUAAUUAAUAUUUUUAUUGUUAUGGAAUGAUAAAACAUGAAUAGUACUUUAUAUGUGAUUUAUGUUUUAAUUUUUUUUUCAAAUAAAACGUACGAUCAAAAUUGUGCACGGAAAAUCAUGGUUGCACUUAAA